This 74-nucleotide transfer RNA is filed under the name Streptomyces phage BillNye. RNAcentral describes it as "tRNA-Arg". It matches the Rfam family "tRNA". From Rfam's summary of the family: Transfer RNA (tRNA) molecules are approximately 80 nucleotides in length. Lineage: Duplodnaviria; Heunggongvirae; Uroviricota; Caudoviricetes; Stanwilliamsviridae. RNAcentral also lists the same sequence under 1 other name. The record is from RNAcentral.
GCCCCUAUAGCUCAGUGGAUAGAGCAGGUGCCUUCUAAGCAUCUGGCCGCUGGUUCGAGUCCAGCUAGGGGCGC